UUGAAUUGAUCCUGGCUCAGGAUGAACGCUGGCGGCGUGCUUAACACAUGCAAGUCGAACGAUGAAGCCCAGCUUGCUGGGUGGAUUAGUGGCGAACGGGUGAGUAACACGUGAGUAACCUGCCCUUAACUCUGGGAUAAGCCUGGGAAACUGGGUCUAAUACCGGAUAGGAGCGUCCACCGCAUGGUGGGUGUUGGAAAGAUUUAUCGGUUUUGGAUGGACUCGCGGCCUAUCAGCUUGUUGGUGAGGUAAUGGCUCACCAAGGCGACGACGGGUAGCCGGCCUGAGAGGGUGACCGGCCACACUGGGACUGAGAC
Molecule: ribosomal RNA, 317 nt
Filed under: Micrococcus luteus
Lineage: Bacteria; Bacillati; Actinomycetota; Actinomycetes; Micrococcales; Micrococcaceae
Description: bacterial SSU rRNA
Rfam family: Bacterial small subunit ribosomal RNA
Source: RNAcentral